This is a long non-coding RNA of Magallana angulata, 1041 nucleotides long. RefSeq lists it as uncharacterized. NCBI's taxonomy places the organism in Eukaryota, Metazoa, Mollusca, Bivalvia, Ostreida, Ostreidae. The transcript has 3 exons. The record is from RefSeq and is a predicted model, not a curated record.
CGUCGUGUAUUUAUUCUUUUUGUUAGAAUUUUAUUAAGAAAGGCAUCGGGAUCGGGGUUCCUAUGAAACUUUACCAUAGACAUGAGCAGACGAAGAUCUCUACCCAAACUCGUAUUUUCUGAAACUCAAAGAUAUAAUACAUGACGAAAGACUUCAGAAAGAGAUUUACAGUGACAUCAAGAUAUGGACCAGCAAGUUUGUAAACAUUUUUAUAUACUAUUUUUGGUUUGAACAUAUUUUAUUGUAUAUAUAAUAUACAAAGGGUUUGAACACAAGUUCUUGCAACUUACUAGGUUCUCACCCAAUUAUUUUUUAUAACUGGGUUGAUACUUUAUUGAUGCAUAAUUAAUUUUAUACUUUUUACAACAUAAUAUAUAAUUGAAUAUUUAGAUGUUCAAAUAUGACCAUGAUGAUGAAUCUGAAUGUGUGUAGAUUUGUGUCAUCAUGUAAGAUUAAAUGUUUUAUACAUAAAUUGUAAAAUUCUGUGAAAAGGGGAAUAACUCUUCCACAUUUAUAACAUUUAAAUAUUGUGUGUAUUUUUUAUAACCUGUGAAAUUAAUUAAAAAAUAUUAUGUGAAUUGAUCGUAUGAAAUUGAAUUAAUUUUUGUUGUAUAUUUACAGGGUGAUUUAUUUUUAAAUCAUAUACAACAGCGAGCCUGCAGGUGUCCAUUAUUUAUACCAAAGGGCCCCUGUUACACUUGUAUACUAUAAACUAUUUGACUUGUUACAUAAAUCAUGUUUCAUGUAUAACUUCUUUCUGAUUUUUCUCCUUCCAUGUAAAAUUUUUGAAAGCCUUCCUGAAUUGAUUUUAUAUUGUUAUUGAUCUUCUUAGUUGAUUUAAAUCUGUGUACUGUUGAAUUUUCAGGCAUCUAGAAACAUUCGAUGCAGACACUCAAAGUAUGAAAGGAGUUUCCAUGGAUUCCAUGGGAAGAGCCGUUUCAACAAGAGCUUGGACUUUGGGCAGUAUGUGACAAACUUCAAUUUGUUAGAUGCAGAGGCUUCACUCAUGACUUACUUUCCUGUCAUUAACUACCAGUUAAA